RNAcentral lists this ribosomal RNA (663 nucleotides) under uncultured bacterium. RNAcentral describes it as "bacterial SSU rRNA". It matches the Rfam family "Bacterial small subunit ribosomal RNA", at positions 79 to 736 of the family's 1533-position model. The record is from RNAcentral.
CUUGCUUCUCUUGAGAGCGGCGGACGGGUGAGUAAUGCCUAGGAAUCUGCCUGGUAGUGGGGGAUAACGUCCGGAAACGGACGCUAAUACCGCAUACGUCCUACGGGAGAAAGCAGGGGACCUUCGGGCCUUGCGCUAUCAGAUGAGCCUAGGUCGGAUUAGCUAGUUGGUGGGGUAAUGGCUCACCAAGGCGACGAUCCGUAACUGGUCUGAGAGGAUGAUCAGUCACACUGGAACUGAGACACGGUCCAGACUCCUACGGGAGGCAGCAGUGGGGAAUAUUGGACAAUGGGCGAAAGCCUGAUCCAGCCAUGCCGCGUGUGUGAAGAAGGUCUUCGGAUUGUAAAGCACUUUAAGUUGGGAGGAAGGGCAGUAAAUUAAUACUUUGCUGUUUUGACGUUACCGACAGAAUAAGCACCGGCUAACUCUGUGCCGGCAGCCGCGGUAAUACAGAGGGUGCAAGCGUUAAUCGGAAUUACUGGGCGUAAAGCGCGCGUAGGUGGUUCGUUAAGUUGGAUGUGAAAUCCCCGGGCUCAACCUGGGAACUGCAUUCAAAACUGACGAGCUAGAGUAUGGUAGAGGGUGGUGGAAUUUCCUGUGUAGCGGUGAAAUGCGUAGAUAUAGGAAGAGAACACCAUUGGCGAAGGCGACCACCCUGGACUG